RNAcentral lists this ribosomal RNA (862 nucleotides) under uncultured bacterium. Its description in RNAcentral is "bacterial SSU rRNA". It matches the Rfam family "Bacterial small subunit ribosomal RNA", at positions 9 to 873 of the family's 1533-position model. The record is from RNAcentral.
AGAGUUUGAUCCUGGCUCAGGAUGAACGCUGGCGGCGUGCCUAAUACAUGCAAGUCGAGCGGUAAGGUUCUCACUCUGUAUUUAACUAGUUUGAAUAUGGUGUGAGAAUACACGAGCGGCGGACGGCUGAGUAACGCGCAGGAACGUACCCCGAAGUGAGGGAUAAGCACCAGAAAUGGUGUCUAAUACCGCAUAUUCUCUUAGGAGCAAAGCAUUUAUGCGCUUUGGGAGCGGCCUGCGUACGAUUAGCUUGUUGGUGAGGUAAAAGCUCACCAAGGCGACGAUCGUUAACUGGUCUGAGAGGAUGAUCAGUCAGACUGGAACUGAGACACGGUCCAGACUCCUACGGGAGGCAGCAGUAGGGAAUUUUCCACAAUGGGCGAAAGCCUGAUGGAGCAACGCCGCGUGCAGGAGGAAGGCCUUCGGGUCGUAAACUGCUUUUAUGUGUGACGAUUUUGACGGUAGCAUAUGAAUAAGGACCGGCUAACUCCGUGCCAGCAGCCGCGGUCAUACGGAGGAUCCAAGCGUUAUCCGGAAUUACUGGGCGUAAAGAGUUGCGUAGGUGGCAAAGUAAGCGAAUAGUGAAAUGAUCCCGCUCAACGGGGUACCCAUUAUUUGAACUGCUUAGCUUGAGAAUGAGAGAGGUAGAUGGAAUUGCUAGUGUAGGAGUGAAAUCCGUAGAUAUUAGCAGGAACACCGAUGGCGUAGGCAGUCUACUGGCUCAUUUCUGACACUAAGGCACGAAAGCGUGGGGAGCGAACGGGAUUAGAUACCCCGGUAGUCCACGCUGUAAACGAUGGAUGCUAGCUGUUAGAAGUAUCGACCCUUCUAGUAGCGAAGCUAACGCGUUAAGCAUCCCGCC